GGGUUGGUAGCUCAGUAGGUAGAGCAACGGAUUGUUAAUCCGUGGGUCCAUGGUUCGAAUCCAUGCCUGCCCGCCA
Molecule: transfer RNA, 76 nt
Filed under: Stenotrophomonas phage Piffle
Lineage: Duplodnaviria; Heunggongvirae; Uroviricota; Caudoviricetes; Schitoviridae
Description: tRNA-Asn
Rfam family: tRNA
About the family: Transfer RNA (tRNA) molecules are approximately 80 nucleotides in length. Their secondary structure includes four short double-helical elements and three loops (D, anti-codon, and T loops). Further hydrogen bonds mediate the characteristic L-shaped molecular structure. tRNAs have two regions of fundamental functional importance: the anti-codon, which is responsible for specific mRNA codon recognition, and the 3' end, to which the tRNAs corresponding amino acid is attached (by aminoacyl-tRNA synthetases). tRNAs cope with the degeneracy of the genetic code in two manners: having more than one tRNA (with a specific anti-codon) for a particular amino acid; and 'wobble' base-pairing, i.e. permitting non-standard base-pairing at the 3rd anti-codon position.
Source: RNAcentral